RNAcentral lists this transfer RNA (71 nucleotides) under Rasbora dusonensis (rosefin rasbora). Its description in RNAcentral is "tRNA-Thr". It matches the Rfam family "tRNA". From Rfam's summary of the family: Transfer RNA (tRNA) molecules are approximately 80 nucleotides in length. Their secondary structure includes four short double-helical elements and three loops (D, anti-codon, and T loops). Lineage: Eukaryota; Metazoa; Chordata; Actinopteri; Cypriniformes; Danionidae. The record is from RNAcentral.
GCCUUAGUAGCUUAAUUCAAAGCAUCGGUCUUGUAAUCCGAAGACCGGAGGUUAAAAUCCCCCCUAAGGCC